Molecule: ribosomal RNA, 439 nt
Filed under: Salmonella enterica subsp. enterica serovar Typhi
Lineage: Bacteria; Pseudomonadati; Pseudomonadota; Gammaproteobacteria; Enterobacterales; Enterobacteriaceae
Description: partial 23S ribosomal RNA
Rfam family: Bacterial large subunit ribosomal RNA
Source: RNAcentral
CGGAGAAGGCUAUGUUGGCCGGGCGACGGUUGUCCCGGUUUAAGCGUGUAGGUGUGUGUUCCAGGUAAAUCCGGUUCACUUUAACACUGAGGCGUGACGACGAGGCACUACGGUGCUGAAGCAACAAAUGCCCUGCUUCCAGGAAAAGCCUCUAAGCAUCAGGUAACAUCAAAUCGUACCCCAAACCGACACAGGUGGUCAGGUAGAGAAUACCAAGGCGCUUGAGAGAACUCGGGUGAAGGAACUAGGCAAAAUGGUGCCGUAACUUCGGGAGAAGGCACGCUGACACGUAGGUGAAGUGAUUUACUCAUGGAGCUGAAGUCAGUCGAAGAUACCAGCUGGCUGCAACUGUUUAUUAAAAACACAGCACUGUGCAAACACGAAAGUGGACGUAUACGGUGUGACGCCUGCCCGGUGCCGGAAGGUUAAUUGAUGGGGU